This 254-nucleotide ribosomal RNA is filed under the name uncultured bacterium. RNAcentral's name for it is "partial 16S ribosomal RNA". It matches the Rfam family "Bacterial small subunit ribosomal RNA", at positions 524 to 776 of the family's 1533-position model. The record is from RNAcentral.
UACGGGGGGAGCAAGCGUUGUUCGGAUUUACUGGGCGUAAAGGGCGCGUAGGCGGUCGUGACAAGUCACUUGUGAAAUCUCCGGGCUUAACUGGGAGGGUGCGCCGAAAACUGGAAGGCUUGAGUAUGGGAGAGGUAAGCGGAAUUCCUGGUGUAGCGGUGAAAUGCGUAGAUAUCAGGAGGAACACCUGCGGUGUAGACGGCUUACUGGACCAUAACUGACGCUGAGGCACGAAAGCGUGGGUAGCAAACAGG